This 72-nucleotide transfer RNA is filed under the name Camelus bactrianus (Bactrian camel). It matches the Rfam family "tRNA". From Rfam's summary of the family: Transfer RNA (tRNA) molecules are approximately 80 nucleotides in length. Their secondary structure includes four short double-helical elements and three loops (D, anti-codon, and T loops). The record is from Rfam by way of RNAcentral. Lineage: Eukaryota; Metazoa; Chordata; Mammalia; Artiodactyla; Camelidae. RNAcentral also lists the same sequence under 1 other name.
GGAUAUAUAGCUCAGUGGUAGAGCACAUGCUUAGCAUGCACAAGGUCCUGGGUUCAAUCCCCACUUCCUCCA